Molecule: ribosomal RNA, 559 nt
Filed under: uncultured Glomus
Lineage: Eukaryota; Fungi; Glomeromycota; Glomeromycetes; Glomerales; Glomeraceae
Description: eukaryotic LSU rRNA
Rfam family: 5.8S ribosomal RNA (bases 156-309)
Source: RNAcentral
GGAAGUAAAAGUCGUAACAAGGUUUCCGUAGGUGAACCUGCGGAAGGAUCAUUACUGAUUUAGCGAACCAAGCAUUAGCGGGGUUUUGCGAUCAAUUUAUAUUUAAAACCCACUCUUUAAUGUAUAAAAUUUGUAUUAAUGAUAAAUUAAAAGAUCACUUUCAACAACGGAUCUCUUGGCUCUCGCAUCGAUGAAGAACGUAGCGAAGUGCGAUAAGUAAUGUGAAUUGCAGUAUUCCGUGAAUCAUCGAAUCUUUGAACGCAUAUUGCACUUUCUGGUAUUCCGGAAAGUAUGCCUGUUUGAGGGUCAGUUAAAUAAAAAUCGGUGUUGUUGCUGCCUUUCGUGGUGACGCGUCGGAAUUGAGUUGUCUUACCUUCGGUUAAGUGACUUAAAAUUUUGUAUGAUUUUUGAACGUAUUUAAAUUUUAUUUGUACGUUUGAGAUAUCGAAUGUUUAUUAGGUUCGGUCAUUCUAAUGACCCGCGCCUAUAGUUUUUCAUUAAAUGACCUCAAAUCAGGUAAGAAUACCCGCUGAACUUAAGCAUAUCAAUAAGCGGAGGA